Molecule: ribosomal RNA, 316 nt
Filed under: uncultured bacterium
Lineage: Bacteria
Description: bacterial SSU rRNA
Rfam family: Bacterial small subunit ribosomal RNA
Source: RNAcentral
CUAUUUUUAUAUUAUAGCUACGGCGCUUGUUGAUGGGUGUGCGGCUGAUUAGGUAGUUGGCGGGUAAUGGCCCACCAAGCCUGCGAUCAGUAGCUGAUGUGAGAGCAUGAUCAGCCACACGGGCACUGAGACACGGGGCCCCGACUCCUACGGGAGGCAGCAGUAAGGAAUAUUGGACAAUGGGCGCAAGCCUGAUCCAGCCAUGCCGCGUGAAGGAUUAAGGUCCUCUGGAUUGUAAACUUCUUUAUAAGGGACGAAAAAGGGAAUUCUUUCUCACUUGACGGUACCUUAUGAAUAAGCACCGGCUAACUCCGUG